UCGGAGGGUAGUUCGGUGGAACGAGCGGCGGACGGGUGAGUAACACGUAGGCAACCUGCCUGUAAGACUGGGAUAACUCGCGGAAACGCGAGCUAAUACCGGAUAACACUUUCUAUCACCUGAUGGAAAGUUGAAAGGCGGCUUUUGCUGUCACUUACAGAUGGGCCUGCGGCGCAUUAGCUAGUUGGUGAGGUAACGGCUCACCAAGGCGACGAUGCGUAGCCGACCUGAGAGGGUGAUCGGCCACACUGGGACUGAGACACGGCCCAGACUCCUACGGGAGGCAGCAGUAGGGAAUCUUCCGCAAUGGACGAAAGUCUGACGGAGCAACGCCGCGUGAGUGAUGAAGGUUUUCGGAUCGUAAAACUCUGUUGUCGGGGAAGAACAAGUAUGAUAGUAACUGAUCGUACCUUGACGGUACCUGACCAGAAAGCCACGGCUAACUACGUGCCAGCAGCCGCGGUAAUACGUAGGUGGCAAGCGUUGUCCGGAAUUAUUGGGCGUAAAGCGCUCGCAGGCGGUUCUUUAAGUCUGAUGUGAAAUCUUGCGGCUCAACCGCAAACGUGCAUUGGAAACUGGAGGACUUGAGUGCAGAAGAGGAGAGUGGAAUUCCACGUGUAGCGGUGAAAUGCGUAGAGAUGUGGAGGAACACCAGUGGCGAAGGCGACUCUCUGGUCUGUAACUGACGCUGAGGGAGCGAAAGCGUGGGGAGCGAACAGGAUUAGAUACCCUGGUAGUCCACGCCGUAAACGAUGAGUGCUAGGUGUUAGGGGGUCUCCGCCCCUUAGUGCUGAAGUUAACGCAUUAAGCACUCCGCCCUGGGGAGUACGGCCGCAAGGGCUGAAACUCAAAAAGAAUUGACGGGCACCCGCACAAGGCGGUGGGAGCAUGUGGCUUUAAUUCGAAGGCAACGG
Molecule: ribosomal RNA, 914 nt
Filed under: Firmicutes bacterium 00YJQ
Lineage: Bacteria; Bacillati; Bacillota
Description: bacterial SSU rRNA
Rfam family: Bacterial small subunit ribosomal RNA
Source: RNAcentral